RNAcentral lists this ribosomal RNA (433 nucleotides) under uncultured bacterium. RNAcentral describes it as "bacterial SSU rRNA". It matches the Rfam family "Bacterial small subunit ribosomal RNA", at positions 29 to 507 of the family's 1533-position model. The record is from RNAcentral.
AACGAACGCUGGCGGCAGGCCUAACACAUGCAAGUCGAGCGAGGACUUCGGUCCUAGCGGCGGACGGGUGAGUAACGCGUGGGAACGUACCCUUUGCUACGGAAUAGCCCCGGGAAACUGGGAGUAAUACCGUAUGUGCCCUCUGGGGGAAAGAUUUAUCGGCAAAGGAUCGGCCCGCGUUGGAUUAGGUAGUUGGUGGGGUAAUGGCCUACCAAGCCGACGAUCCAUAGCUGGUUUGAGAGGAUGAUCAGCCACACUGGGACUGAGACACGGCCCAGACUCCUACGGGAGGCAGCAGUGGGGAAUCUUAGACAAUGGGGGCAACCCUGAUCUAGCCAUGCCGCGUGAGUGAUGAAGGCCCUAGGGUUGUAAAGCUCUUUCAGCUGGGAAGAUAAUGACGGUACCAGCAGAAGAAGCCCCGGCUAACUCCGUG